Non-coding RNA from Nothobranchius furzeri (turquoise killifish), 1649 nucleotides. NCBI's taxonomy places the organism in Eukaryota, Metazoa, Chordata, Actinopteri, Cyprinodontiformes, Nothobranchiidae. The record is from RefSeq and is a predicted model, not a curated record.
AAUUGAGUCUAAGAUAUUACUAAAGGCUACAUUGAGGCUAUCAUUUUCAAUGUCCACAUGAAUAUUAAAAUCCCCCACUACAAUGACCUUAUCAGUAUUUAGCACCAAAUCAGAUAAAAAAUCAGAGAUCUGAUCCAAAAACUCAGAAUAAGGGCCUGGUGGACAAUAUAAAACUGCAAACAAGAGUGGGUUUUACAGUUUUGCAAUCUGGAUUAGGAAAACUAAGAAUAAGAUGUUCAAACGAACUGUAAUUAUUAAUUGGUAAGGGAUUGAUUAAUCGGUCUGAAUGAAAAAUGGUUGCUACUCCUCUUCGCCCUGUACUUCGAGCAAUAUGAUGAUUUAAAUAAUUAGAAGGAGUCGACUUGUUUAAACUAACAUAGUCCUCUUGCUGCAGCCAGGAUUCUGAGAGAGAGAGCAAAGAGAUCUGAUUAUCACAAAUCAAGUCAUUAAGUAUAAUAUCUUAGUCUUAGAAAAAAUAGACCUAAUGUUCAACACACACACUUCUAGCCAGCAAAUCGAGCUAAAACACAUUGUUUUACAAUUAUUAUUCUCAUGGUAUGUUAUUUCUUCAUAUACAAACUGCUCGGCCAAAAAAAGUCACUGCCAAAAAAAAGGUCACACACUAACAUUUAAUUGGACCGCCUUUAGCUUUGAUUACAUCACCCAUUUGCUGUGGUGUUGUUUGAAUAAGCUUCUGCAGCAUUACCAGAUUUAGUUCCAUCCAUUAAAGGCACAGUCUGCAACAUUUAAAUGUAGAAUAACUUUAAAAAUGUUUGAUUUUGACCAUCUGACCCAAUUUUAUCAAAAAAAGUAAAUAAUCUUUAAUAUUUCAAUUUUCUCCUUAGUCCCUCCCCUGCCCUGUAGAGCUCAGCCAAUGGCUGUGUCUCAAUUCAGGGUCUGCAUCCUACCUCGGCCGGAUUCGUCGGCCGGUUACGUCACAGCGCCGCGACUCGGCCUGUCCCAAUUCGAAGACUCCUUCAAAUGCGGUCGACGAAUGCGGCCUUCUUUUUGCCUGAAUGAAGGAUGGGUCGGGUGUAUCCUUCAAUAGGUAGCAUUUCCCAAGAUGCCUUGCGGGCCGGCCGGCAGAAAAACUUAAAAACAAUGGCGGACAGUGAAGCGGGAGCUGUCGGAGAGGAUUGCGCAUAUAAAUGUAAGUAUAAACUUGAAAACUGUCAGUUUAAGGACUUUUUGUGAUACAUGAACGUUAUUUUAGUUAGAAAUGUUACAGUAAAAGUGCUUGUAUUGCGGUCUCGGCUCGUAUGUUCGGCCGCGCUCGGUGUCGUACUUCUCCCGCUACGUUUCCCCCUGAUUUUAAUAGAAGUUUGUAUUUUAGGACCAAAAGAGAAAACCAGGGAAUUUAUUAAGCUUAGGGCGGAGAUGGACCACAUGAUCACCGGAGCAAAGUAUUCGGCGGCUGUGGCAUGGAGACUAUUCUGGAGAAAAUGGGCAUCCAGGGGAAGGUGCCAGCGAUGAGCUUCUGGAGCUGAUCUGGGAGGAAUUGAGGCUGCAGAGGGAGGCAGAGCUGCAGAGAGCACAGGAGAGAAGGAAGAAUUUUGACAGCUUUUUACUUUGCUAGAAAAAAAUGGUUAAGGAAGAUUAAAUAUGUACAUGUAAAAGAAAUAUCUAAAUAAAAUCAGUUCUGCAUUAAA